RNAcentral lists this ribosomal RNA (458 nucleotides) under uncultured bacterium. Its description in RNAcentral is "partial 16S ribosomal RNA". It matches the Rfam family "Bacterial small subunit ribosomal RNA", at positions 338 to 795 of the family's 1533-position model. The record is from RNAcentral.
CCUACGGGGGGCAGCAGUGAGGAAUAUUGGUCAAUGGGCGAGAGCCUGAACCAGCCAAGUCGCGUGAGGGAGUACUGCCCUAUGGGUUGUAAACCUCUUUUGUCGGGGAGCAAAAGCCGGACGUGUCCGGCUGUGAGAGUACCCGAAGAAAAAGCAUCGGCUAACUCCGUGCCAGCAACCGCGGUAAUACGGGGGAUGCGAGCGUUAUCCGGAUUUAUGGGGUUUAAAGGGGGCGCAGGCGGAUUUUUAAGUCAGCGGUCAAAUCGUGGGGCUCAACCCCAUCCAGCCGUUGAAACUGGGGAUUUAGAGUGUGCGAGAGGUAUGCGGAAUGCGUGGUGUAGCGGUGAAAUGCAUAGAUAUCACGCAGAACCCCGAUUGCGAAGGCAGCAUACCGGUGCACAACUGACGCUCAGGCACGAAAGCGUGGGUAUCGAACAGGAUUAGAUACCCCUGUAGUC